GGGGGCCCGCACAANCAGUGGAGCAUGUGGUUUAAUUCGAAGCAACGCGAAGAACCUUACCAGGUCUUGACAUCCUCUGCCACUCCUAGAGAUAGGACGUUCCCCUUCGGGGGACAGANUGACAGGUGGUGCAUGGUUGUCGUCAGCUCGUGUCGUGAGAUGUUGGGUUAAGUCCCGCAACGAGCGCAACCCUUGAUCUUAGUUGCCAGCAUUCAGUUGGGCACUCUAAGGUGACUGCCGGUGACAAACCGGAGGAAGGUGGGGACGACGUCAAAUCAUCAUGCCCCUUAUGACCUGGGCUACACACGUGCUACAAUGGACGGUACAAAGGGCAGCGACACCGCGAGGUGAAGCGAAUCCCAUAAAGCCGUUCUCAGUUCGGAUUGUAGGCUGCAACUCGCCUACAUGAAGCCGGAAUUGCUAGUAAUCGCGGAUCAGCAUGCCGCGGUGAAUACGUUCCCGGGCCUUGUACACACCGCCCGUCACACCACGAGAGUUUGUAACACCCGAAGUCGGUGAGGUAACCUUUUGGAGCCAG
Molecule: ribosomal RNA, 538 nt
Filed under: bacterium c1cc16
Lineage: Bacteria
Description: bacterial SSU rRNA
Rfam family: Bacterial small subunit ribosomal RNA
Source: RNAcentral